GACGAACGCUGGCGGCGUGCUUAACACAUGCAAGUCGAACGAAGAGCGAUGGAAGCUUGCUUCUAUCAAUCUUAGUGGCGAACGGGUGAGUAACGCGUAAUCAACCUGCCCUUCAGAGGGGGACAACAGUUGGAAACGACUGCUAAUACCGCAUACGAUCCAAUCACGGCAUCGAGACUGGAUGAAAGGUGGCCUCUAUUUAUAAGCUAUCGCUGAAGGAGGGGAUUGCGUCUGAUUAGCUAGUUGGAGGGGUAACGGCCCACCAAGGCGAUGAUCAGUAGCCGGUCUGAGAGGAUGAACGGCCACAUUGGGACUGAGACACGGCCCAGACUCCUACGGGAGGCAGCAGUGGGGAAUCUUCCGCAAUGGACGAAAGUCUGACGGAGCAACGCCGCGUGAGUGAUGACGGCCUUCGGGUUGUAAAGCUCUGUUAAUCGGGACGAAUGGUUCUUGUGCAAAUAGUGCGAG
Molecule: ribosomal RNA, 468 nt
Filed under: Veillonella atypica
Lineage: Bacteria; Bacillati; Bacillota; Negativicutes; Veillonellales; Veillonellaceae
Description: bacterial SSU rRNA
Rfam family: Bacterial small subunit ribosomal RNA
Source: RNAcentral